AACGAACGCUGGCGGCAUGCCUAACACAUGCAGGUCGAACGAGACCUUCGGGUCUAGUGGCGCACGGGUGCGUAACGCGUGGGAACCUGCCCUUAGGUUCGGAAUAACUCCCCGAAAGGGGUGCUAAUACCGGAUAAUGUCUUCGGACCAAAGAUUUAUCGCCUUUGGAUGGGCCCGCGUUGGAUUAGCUAGUUGGUAGGGUAAAAGCCUACCAAGGCGACGAUCCAUAGCUGGUCUGAGAGGAUGAUCAGCCACACUGGGACUGAGACACGGCCCAGACUCCUACGGGAGGCAGCAGUGGGGAAUAUUGGACAAUGGGCGAAAGCCUGAUCCAGCAAUGCCGCGUGAGUGAUGAAGGCCUUAGGGUUGUAAAGCUCUUUUACCCGGGACGAUAAUGACAGUACCGGGAGAAUAAGCUCCGGCUAACUCCGU
Molecule: ribosomal RNA, 432 nt
Filed under: uncultured bacterium
Lineage: Bacteria
Description: partial 16S ribosomal RNA
Rfam family: Bacterial small subunit ribosomal RNA
Source: RNAcentral